Globicephala melas (long-finned pilot whale) is the source of this 2165-nucleotide long non-coding RNA. RefSeq lists it as uncharacterized. The record is from RefSeq and is a predicted model, not a curated record. NCBI's taxonomy places the organism in Eukaryota, Metazoa, Chordata, Mammalia, Artiodactyla, Delphinidae.
CUUUUGAUGAGAAGAAGAAUAACCUCAUUCUGAAUCAAUGAAAAGACUUCCGUCUUCUUGCCACUGGAUAUAUGUUAUCUGCACUUACAGAAUUGAAAGUGUGCAUCAAAGGAGCAUUCUCUUGGGAUGAAAGUUUUAUAGGGGAAGUCUGGAUGCUGGUGGAGCAGUGAGAAAGAAGAACUUAUUUUACCUCUGACUUGAGCACUGAAAAGAUACACCUUCACCACUGUUGCAACUCCAUACUUCUAAGAACUGCCAGAACUACUUUCCAGUGACUUCUUUCUACCACACUUCUCCUCAGUGUAAGAGGAUGAAAGCACAUGAUGAUAUUUGAAGCAAGAAGAUUGAAGAAUUGCUGGCUGCUAACCCAAGGCUUGGAUUAGUACAAUCUUUUUAGCUUUUUACUGUGAAGUUCAGGGAUCACAAAUGUUGUUUCAUCCAUGGAACUUUUGCAACUUGUUAUUUUCAUACCUGGGAUCUGGGGGAAAGUUUAGUCUAAAUGGUUUCUAAAAUAGCCAUUAGCUCAGGAGAUACGCAGCCAAUGCAUGUGACAGCAGCUUUGCCCACACUACCCUGUUUUUUGGUCAUGUAGGUUUUUUUUUUUUUUUUUUUUUUAAUGAUGUCAUUUAAAAACUUUGCUUUUGGGGAAUGAUUCCCCCCACUAUUUUUCUAUAGAGGGUCAGGAAAAUGUAUAAAUAAUUUCUGGGCUUGGGUGCAGAAGAUAUACAUGCUGACAAACAGAAAUCUAAAGUGUUAAAGGAGAUUGUCCUUUGAAGAAACUUUUCCAGGCUUGAGUUCUAUAUUUUUGGAUUUGACUCAGUGAAAAAUCUUUACUGAGUACCUAGUAUAUGCCCAGCAUUCUGCUGCAUUAUAGGGGUUGGGGGACUAUAGUCCAGUUGGGAUACAGGAAGGAUGGAGAGAGAAUAUAUAUAGUUAUAGCACAAGGCAGAAUAAGUUAUAGUAUACAAUGGGCUAUGGAAUAUUGUGGAGGAAGAGAGCAUUUUUAAUUAGUGGAGUCAGGAAAUGCAUUACCAAGGUGAUGGCAUUCUUGCUGGGUCAUGAAGGAUAGAUAGGAUUUUGGGAGGUGAGGAGCCAUUCUAAUGCAAGAGAACAAUAAUAGAAAAAGCCCAGUGGUCCAUUGAGGGUAGGAGCAGGGAAAUAAAGGGCGGCUGGGUUUAUACUGUGAUUACUGAGCUGCAGGCACACAGUUGUCCACGCCCUCCUCCUUGAACCACUUUUUAAAUAUAAAUUUAUUUAUUUAUUUAUGUUUGGCUGUGUUGGGUCUUCGUUGCUGAGUGUGGGCUUUUCUCAAGUUGCUGUGAGCGGGGGCUACUCCUUGUUGCGGUGUGCGGGCUUCUCACUGCAGUGGCUUCUCUUGUGGCACAGCACGGGCUCUAGGUGUGCGGGCUUCAGUAGUUGUGGCUUGCGGGCUCUAGAGCGCAGGCUCAGUAGUUGUGGCACAUGGGCUUAGCUGCUCCGCGGCAUGUGGGUUCUUCCCAGACCAGGGCUCGAACCCGUGUCCUCUGCAUUGGCAGGUGGAUACUUAACCACUGCGCCACCAGGGAAGCCCUGAACCACUGUUUACUCCAGAGUCACAGCAUCCUCCUGACUCUGACAGUCUUAACAGCCGUUGCUUCUCAGUCACCUUUCUUGGGUGCUCUUCCUCAGCCUGAGCUCUGCAUGUUGAAAGGCUUCAGCAUCAGUUUUUUAGCUUUCUUCACCUGAGUUGCUAUCAUUUAAAUAUUAAAUAUUUAACAUCUACAUGCCAGUAAUCUCCAAAUCAGUAACUCUCCCCAUGACCCAUGCCCUGACCUCUAAGCUGUAUAUCAAAUUGUCUACCCAACAUCUUCACUUUUGAUGGCUAAAUAUCAGGUUUCUUGAUUCUUUGCUUCCCCUCUCUGCUGAAAUCCUGCUCAACCACCAGUCUUCUCUAUCUUAGUUAAUGGGCCUGCCAUCCACCGAGUUGCUUAGGUGUCCCCCAAACUAGAUGUUAUUCUAGAUAUAACCUUUUCUCUCACCUUCACCAUAUAAUAAUGAGUAUUUUGAGUCCACCUCUACCCCACCCCAAAUAAGUGACUAUUGUUUUUUGUUAUAAGUUUUAUGGUAGUAAGAUUUGCCUCUAAAUCUACAUGAAUUAUCUUGAUAAAAAUAAAUAUUAAAUUAAA